UACGUAGGGUGCAAGCGUUAAUCGGAAUUACUGGGCGUAAAGGGCGCGUAGGCGGUCAGCACAAGUCAGUUGUGAAAUCUCCGAGCUUAACUCGGAAAGGUCAACUGAAACUGUGCGACUAGAGUGCGGAAGGGGCAACUGGAAUUCUUGGUGUAGCGGUGAAAUGCGUAGAUAUCAAGAGGAACACCUGAGGUGAAGACGGGUUGCUGGGCUGACACUGACGCUGAGGCGCGAAAGCCAGGGGAGCAAACGGG
Molecule: ribosomal RNA, 254 nt
Filed under: uncultured bacterium
Lineage: Bacteria
Description: partial 16S ribosomal RNA
Rfam family: Bacterial small subunit ribosomal RNA
Source: RNAcentral